This is a long non-coding RNA of Mauremys reevesii (Reeves's turtle), 2014 nucleotides long. RefSeq lists it as uncharacterized. The transcript has 7 exons. Lineage: Eukaryota; Metazoa; Chordata; Testudines; Geoemydidae. The record is from RefSeq and is a predicted model, not a curated record.
CCCCAGCUGCGAAGCCCUCCUCAGCCUCCCGGCCCGCGCCCGCCAUUUCCCCGCGAACAGCCCACGCGUGUCCGAGCCGCCCCGUGACGAGCAGCGCCCGCUCCGGGGGAGGCCCCUGGCUCCUCGUCGGGCCUGGCCACGCUGGGAAACGGCAUCGUGGGCAGCAGCCUGGCUUAGCGCCGUGUGGGAAACCGUGUCAGUCUGCGCCACCGCCGAGUGCCACAUCGUGCCAGGCCCGGGCUCCGGUGGAAACUUGCUGCUCGGGCGGUAACGUGAUAUACUGUGGCUGUGUGACAUACAUGAUGUGACUGAAACACUGUCAUUGGCAGUACAGGGAGAAUGGAAACUACACACUAAGAAAAAAAACUAGACAUUCUGAUUUGAAUGUUGACCAGUGCAUUUUAAUCAAUAUGGAUUCCGGGUCAGAUACUUUUUCAGAAGAUAUACAUCUUAUCACCAGAGAAUAGUAACUCCCUAUUGAAAGACUCUGCUGAAAUUUCAGAGCCUGUACUCCCUCCUGUGUUAGACCUCCCUGUGCUUUUUACCACUGAAAGAAAUGCUAGUACUGUUGUCAAUGAAGGCGUAGCUAAUAAUAUAGUAAAAGUUGCUGGUUAUGCAGAAGAUGAUUUGAUCAAUGUUACUCUUGAAGCUUGCAACCUUAAGGAAACAGGACUAGUUCCUGCUUCUGUUUUUAUAAAAAUAUUUUGAAGAUGUGACAGGACAGAGCCAUGCGAAAUGCAGAUUAUUAAUCCUCUACAAUAUGUUAGACCCUAAAAGGCAGAAUAUCUUUAUUGCUAGAGAAACAUGUCAUGCUGCUAUGAAAAGCUGGAUUGCCACAUGCUAUCACAACUGUAUUUCAGAUGAUGAAGCUGAUGAAAAUAAGUCAACAAGGGAACAUGCUUAAAAAUAGAGGAAAUACAUCAUUCCUAUCUAAGGAAGACCAAGACAUUCCAGGGAAAAGCUGAAGACACAUGUUUCCUAUAGUGUAUUGUUUAGAAAUGUGUGACUGAUUGCAGUGGGGUGGGGGAUUAUAUCUUUUAGACAUCUUCAUGUAUUGGGGUGGGUUGGUUGUUUGUUUUUUGCCUAUUUUGUGGGUAUUUAUAAUGUUACAUUUAAGGUAUGUGUAUCUUCUAUUCCUGACAUGUUACUAUUUAAAAUGGCAGAGCAUAAAAAAAUAGCACCCCCCCCCCACACACACACGCAGUGUGUGUCUCCAUUUCUCUCUCUCUAAACUGGUUACGUUCACCUUUGGAGUUACUUCAUUGAAAUCAACAUAGUUACCCCAGAGAUGAAUUUGUCUAACUGCAAAUAAUUAGAAGGGUUUUCAUUUAAUUUUAGAUUCAAAUCUACCUCUGCUGACCUUGUUGGGGGGUGGGGUUUUUUUUUUUUUUUUUUUUUUUUUUUUUUUUUUAAAUUAUUAUAUAUGCCCCUUUGUUCUAGAAAACUAAAUGUUGUUGUUGUUGUUGUUGUUUUCAAUGCACAUUUCCCACCCCCUCCAGUUAGGGCCCCUUUUGUGCCUUAUAAGUGAACUCUCUCUCAUCUAACUUACCCAGAUAUAUAUAUAUAGAAAAUAUACUUGAGAUUGCAUAACUCACAGAUCCAGCUGGAUUGCCUCUUCUGAGGGAAAAAUGCCAUGAGAAAUGUUCAAGGGAAGGAAAUUUCCACAAGAACGUUUUUUAAUGGGUUCUCUUGUUUUUAUUGUGGGAGACAGUUGAGCCACAGACCAUGAGUGUCAAGCACCUACCAAAUUUGGUAGAGUCCCAACUCCCUAGAGGCACUGACAUAUUUUUUUUGUUUUUGUUUUUGCUGAUGGGUGUUUUUGAAGAGAGGUGUGUGUUUGGGGGAUCACGCUGCUAGGUUUGGGGGGAGGCUAUUUUCAGCAUAUUUAUACUUUUUUGUCAUAUUCUAGUUAUUGAAUGUGUCUAUCAUUGGUAUCUUUACUAAUAAAUGAUUCAAUUGUUAUGAACUACAUAAUUACAUUAUCAUGAAUUACAGUAUAUUAAGAUCCUUGUAA